This is a long non-coding RNA of Coregonus clupeaformis (lake whitefish), 1202 nucleotides long. RefSeq lists it as uncharacterized. The transcript has 5 exons. Lineage: Eukaryota; Metazoa; Chordata; Actinopteri; Salmoniformes; Salmonidae. The record is from RefSeq and is a predicted model, not a curated record.
GUUCAGGAACAGAUGGGUACAGAUAUAUAUUGACACCAGCGACAGGUCACAGUCCAGUUGCUGAUGUUACAAAACCGAUGGUGCAAGACAGACUACUAGACUGCUGUCUGAUUUGAGGAACUCUAUAGGUCAACAAUGAGACAGGCCACAGGACACAGCAGUGACAACCAGAGCAACAAUGCAACUCAGACUGGAUCUGUUGUUUUUCUCUCCAACCCUUUGAUGAGUGGUGAACCUCCCCACAUUGGAGCGGACCACCCCCCUGUCAGAGGCCUGUGCACAGGGCCACGCGGUCUGUGUGACCCUGCUCCUCCAGCACGGAGCCUCACCCCAAGGAUCCAGCCUCUCAGCCUCCCACAUCCACCAGGCCACAGCCAAAGGUCACCCAGAGUGCAUUGAGUCUCUGGUUCAUCACGGGGCAGAUGUCAAUCAACACACUGACCAAUCAGGCUCCCCACUCUACACUGCCUGCACCAAUCAGCAUCUGAGCACUGUGAAGAAAUUGGUUCAGCUAGGUGCUAGUGUGAACAGCAGUAAGGAUGGGGAUUCUCCUUUGCACGUGGCAGCCCGUCUGUCCAACCCUGAGCUGAUGUCUGUUCUGCUGGAGCAUGGGGCUGACUGCAGCAGCAGAGACACACAGGGCAAACGGCCCCUGGACCUGGCCUCUCCCAACAGCCCCGUGGAGAAACUAGUGCUGGGCCACAGAGCAGGAGUGUCUCGUCUGAUGCAGCUGUGCCAACUGUCCAUCAGGAAGAUUUUGGGAAAGGCCAGACUUAGUUCAAUCCAUGGUCUCCAGAUCCCCACAGAACUGAAACAAUACCUUCUGCACCAAUCAUAAAAUGAUUUUUGUUUUUUAUAUCUCAAUGCAUUUCUACUUUCAGUCAAUAGGUGGCGGCCUAACACCAGCAUCUUUGGACAGAGGACCUAAACACUCAUUUGAAUGUUGAUUAGAGGGAUUUUUUGUGCCAUAUCUUGAAAAAUGAAAGACAUGAGAAAGAAGAGAGAACUUAAAAUGUUAUGCAUUAAUUUGUGCAUAAAUAAAUGAAUAUAUCUACUGUCACUUGAAGAACAGGAACUGUGGACACAUAGACUUUGUCAUGUAAAAAGGAGAGCAGGGUUCAUUGUCUAUUACAUUUUAGUCAUUUAGCAGAUGCUCUUAUUCAGAGCGAAUUACAGUUAGUGAGUGCAUACAGUUUCAUACU